GGAAACAAGAGAACCCAAGGAAGGGCUGGACUCCUGCUGCAGACAGGGAGCAGAGCACCGCACCUUGAAAUACGGAGAAAAACCUGAAAACGCUGAGAGGUGGAGUGACAACUUGCAUUCAGCUGUUUCAGAAACAUUGUUGACCACCUACUCAAUGUGAAGAUGACGAAGAUGAAAGCCUUUAUGAUGAUCUACUUCCACUUAAUAAAUGGAAACCAGCUGCCAUGCAUGAGGAUACUCCAGCAGCUUAUGGAGAAGUCCAUGUGGUGAGGAACUGGGGUCGGUCCACAACCACCUGAGUGAACCUGAAAGUGGAUCUUCCCCUCACUCAAGCAUUGAGUUGACUGCUGGCCCAACCAACAGUUUGUCUGCAACUUCAUGGGAGAUCCUGACUCAGAAGCACUCAAUUAACUCAUGAAAACGACUCCAGUAUGAAUGGUGAAUGUAAUUUAAUGUGUCAUGGAAAUGCAGAGCUGUAGAACUGAUUAUUAUGCCCAGUAUAAAUGGAAGAGCUCUAAUCUACGAGUGGAGGUGAAGCAUCCCCAGUGGCCAGGAGGACAACCUUGCCCAGUGACCUUUCCUAGAAGAAG
This is a long non-coding RNA of Homo sapiens (human), 590 nucleotides long. Lineage: Eukaryota; Metazoa; Chordata; Mammalia; Primates; Hominidae. The record is from Ensembl.